ACUCCUACGGGAGGCAGCAGUAGGGAAUCUUCCACAAUGGACGAAAGUCUGAUGGAGCAACGCCGCGUGAACGAUGAAGGCUUUCGGGUCGUAAAGUUCUGUUGUAAGGGAAGAACAAGUGCCGCAGGCAAUGGCGGCACCUUGACGGUACCUUGCGAGAAAGCCACGGCUAACUACGUGCCAGCAGCCGCGGUAAUACGUAGGUGGCAAGCGUUGUCCGGAAUUAUUGGGCGUAAAGCGCGCGCAGGCGGCCUCUUAAGUCUGAUGUGAAAGCCCCCGGCUCAACCGGGGGAGGGCCAUUGGAAACUGGGAGGCUUGAGUAUAGGAGAGAAGAGUGGAAUUCCACGUGUAGCGGUGAAAUGCGUAGAGAUGUGGAGGAACACCAGUGGCGAAGGCGACUCUUUGGCCUAUAACUGACGCUGAGGCGCGAAAGCGUGGGGAGCAAACA
RNAcentral lists this ribosomal RNA (448 nucleotides) under uncultured bacterium. Its description in RNAcentral is "bacterial SSU rRNA". It matches the Rfam family "Bacterial small subunit ribosomal RNA", at positions 335 to 774 of the family's 1533-position model. The record is from RNAcentral.